GACGAACGCUGGCGGCGUGCUUAACACAUGCAAGUCGAACGGAAAGGCCCUGCUUUUGUGGGGUGCUCGAGUGGCGAACGGGUGCGUAACACGUGAGUAACCUGCCCUUGACUUUGGGAUAACUUCACGAAACUGGGGCUAAUCCCGGAUAGGAGCUCCUGCUGCAUGGUGGGGGUUGGAACGUUUCGGCGGUUGGGGAUGGACGCGCGGAUUAUCAGCUUGUUGGUGGGGUAGUGGCAUACCCAGGCUUUGACGGGUACCCGGCAUGAGAGGGUGACCGGGCACAAUGGGACUGAGAGAGGGACCAGACGGCUACGUGGGACAACAGGGGGGAAUAUGGCACAAUGGGCGGAAGCCUGAUGCAGCGACGCCGCGUGCGUGAUGACGGCCUUCGGGGUAUGAACCGCUGUCGCCUGUGACGAAGCGUGAGUGACGGUAAUGGAUAAAGAAGCACCGGCUAACUACGUG
RNAcentral lists this ribosomal RNA (468 nucleotides) under uncultured bacterium. Its description in RNAcentral is "partial 16S ribosomal RNA". It matches the Rfam family "Bacterial small subunit ribosomal RNA", at positions 28 to 507 of the family's 1533-position model. The record is from RNAcentral.